RNAcentral lists this ribosomal RNA (253 nucleotides) under uncultured bacterium. Its description in RNAcentral is "partial 16S ribosomal RNA". It matches the Rfam family "Bacterial small subunit ribosomal RNA", at positions 524 to 776 of the family's 1533-position model. The record is from RNAcentral.
GACGAACCGUCCUAACGUUGUUCGGAAUCACUGGGCUUAAAGGGCGCGUAGGCGGGUCUCCAAGUCGGUGGUGAAAUCUUUCAGCUCAACUGGAAAAGUGCCGCCGAUACUGGGGAUCUCGAGGGAGGUAGGGGUCGAUGGAACUAAUGGUGGAGCGGUGAAAUGCGUAGAGAUCCGGAGGAACACCAGAGGCGAAAGCGGCGCUCUGGGCUGCACCUGACGCUGAACUGCGAAAGCCAGGGGAGCGAACGGG